UACCGAGGUUUUAUCAUGGUUAAGCAUUAGAACAACUACUGCAUAAUAGUCCCUGACUAAGCUGAACAAAAUGUGACAGGGUCACAACUACAAAAGUAGUAGCGCAAUCAGAAAACACCUAUAACAACUAAGACCAAAAGAGAGACUGUGUCCGAUGCACCCCAUGUUUGACUAGAACCAUCCAUAUGGAAUUUCAUGAUUAAUGCUAAUCUUCCCUGCUUCCUUUCACUUAUUCCAUCCCGUUGAGAUAUCCAGUCCU
Molecule: long non-coding RNA, 259 nt
Filed under: Coffea arabica (coffee)
Lineage: Eukaryota; Viridiplantae; Streptophyta; Magnoliopsida; Gentianales; Rubiaceae
Description: long non-coding RNA (CARA_LNC008244)
Source: RNAcentral